UUGAGACAGCUCCGUCUCCCUGCGCCCUAUUUGAAGCUUCAAAUAAAUCUCUCUGCUUCUCCACCCCGUUGUGGUCAUUGGCGCGACGCAUACCGGAUAACGAACCCAGCUGUUGCUUGCCUCGGGCACUCUGUGCCAGCAACAGUUCUUGGAACCCCAGAUGGGACUCGAGGCUGCUAUUUAGCCUUGCCCGGACCCCUCCUGGCGGUUGACGGAUUGCGGCGACGACCAACGCCCAGCGCGCACCGAUGAGUUCAUUGGGAGGCCUUGGAGGAGAUGCGAUUUGCUUGACCCCAGAGGGCACAACGGUGCAACGUGCCCCUAUAGUGGAGAAGCAACUGCUGGCGACGGUGGGGAACUGGUCCCUUGGAAAAGUAAAAUGCCCAGACACAUCGGUUACAGAGAGACUGGAGGCCAAAGUGAGAAAAAUCAGUUUGCCUGAUGUCAUUUUAUGGCCUGAUGCCAAGAAGCUGGUUGGGUGAUAAGGUAAAUUUAAAUAGCGGUAAACAUGGAUGGUGACUGGAUUGAGUUGUCAGAUAUUUUUGAAAUGUUCACUAUUCCCUCAUCACCUAUUGUAGGUAAUUGAUGUGUAUUUCUGUUGUGUGGUCAAUCAGGAAAAUAAGUGGAAAGGCCACCUAUUGUGACGCUAUAUGGGAAUAUCAAAUUAAUUAAUUAAACCAUCACACGAAUACAUUUGAAAACAUAUUUAAGUCCAAAUAGCAUGGAAGUGUGGAUAUAUGCCACUAAUUGUAGCAUUUUGCUAUAUUUACUGCUCCCAAAUAUGUUCUCAAAAGUCUUUUGAGAUAUAUACCUGAGGUACAAUCCUCGAGGAAGGCAAUGUUAGUUUUGAUAUAAAGUUCAAUGGGGCCAUCACUUCAGUAUGUGUACUGGUUAAUCAGUUUUUGAAGCAAGUAAGAAGGACCACACGUGGUCUUAAAAAGAAAAGGUCUGUAAUCCAUCUUACAUAACUUAUGUCUGUGUAACAGUAAGGAGCCCUUCCACGGAUGUAUUUAUGAACUACAUUAUGUUCUAUGUGUGCCAGAAGGAUUAAUCCAUUUAAUUAUUGUCAGACCACAGGUACAAGCCAAGUCUACUAGCAUUAUGUCUGGCCAAGCAAGAGAAAGGAAAUCUGAGAAGAUAAAUGUUAGUCAUGUUCAUGCCUAACAUGGGCAAAACACAUUUUCAUAAUGGCCGUUAAGCACAGUCAUCACAUUAAUGGAAGCAAAAGUAUUGUUAAUAAUUUACUCCUUGUGCGAUGAAACGAGAUAUGAGAAAACUUCCUGAGGGACUGGAGACGCCAAUCCACAUCUGCGGAGCCUUCCUGGGAAUGUUCAAGGUGGCAUGUGAGCAAUGGCUGCUGCCUGCAAACUGAGUCGUGCAUGGACAUGUGACUUGCCCAUGUGACUCCAAACUCCAUCUUGCUGCUGUGAUUUUCCACAGUAAGAACAAAUGGUCCUUCCAUAUGGCAGAGGAUAUAAAAGGCACUGGAAACCCCUCCAUUUUGUCUUCAGUCCUGCUUCUGACCUCUGGAGGAACAGUGCUUGAAACUGAAGCUCUGAACAGAGGACUGAAUGACCCAUCCAAGCUGGGAUGUUUGUACUCCAGAGACUUGAUUGGUAUAAAUCAGCAGUAAUCCCAUCAAGUCUGAAACAAGCCUGAACUAAGAACUUUGCAACUGUUGUAUGUAUGUGAUUCCAUUUAACC
Long non-coding RNA from Caretta caretta (loggerhead turtle), 1704 nucleotides. RefSeq lists it as uncharacterized. Lineage: Eukaryota; Metazoa; Chordata; Testudines; Cheloniidae. The record is from RefSeq and is a predicted model, not a curated record.